This 498-nucleotide ribosomal RNA is filed under the name uncultured bacterium. RNAcentral describes it as "partial 16S ribosomal RNA". It matches the Rfam family "Bacterial small subunit ribosomal RNA", at positions 899 to 1397 of the family's 1533-position model. The record is from RNAcentral.
ACUCAAAUGAAUAGACGGGGGCCCGCACAAGCGGUGGAGCAUGUGGUUUAAUUCGAUGCAACGCGAAGAACCUUACCUGGGUUAGACAACGCAAGACAGUGGUAGAGAUAUCACCUUGUAGCAAUACACUUGCGGUUCAGGUGCUGCAUGGCUGUCGUCAGCUCGUAUCGUGAGAUGUCGGGUUAAGUCCCUUAACGAGCGCAACCCCUAUCCCUAGUUGCCACCAUUCAGUUGGGCACUCUAUGGAGACCGCCGGCGUUAAGCCGGAGGAAGGCGGGGAUGACGUCAAGUCCUCAUGGCCCUUAUGUCCAGGGCUACACACGUGCUACAAUGGCAGGUACAAAGGGUUGCCAACCAGCAAUGGGGAGCUAAUCUCAGAAAGCCUGUCUCAGUUCGGAUUGAAGUCUGCAAUUCGACUUCAUGAAGCUGGAAUCGCUAGUAAUCGCAGAUCAGAACGCUGCGGUGAAUACGUUCCCGGGCCUUGCACACACCGCCCGU